AUGGCUCAGUGAGGCCUUCGGACUGGCUCGAGGAGGUUGGCAACGACCACCCCGAGCCGGAAAGUUCGUCAAACUCGGUCAUUUAGAGGAAGUAAAAGUCGUAACAAGGUUGAUCCCUCCGUCAAAAAUACUUGCGGAAGCCUUUGCAGCUGGAAACAGUAGCCCGAGCGACUCUAUAAAAUAAUUUCGGUCUCAUGCAAGUCAGCGUUUUUGCUGGCGACACUUUCGAAUUGCGGGGAACUCCUAAGAGCCCUUUACACCAAACCAGCCUGGGGAAACCCGCUGGUGGCCUGUGGGAAACUACAGGGUAUGGUAACAGUUAAAGGGAUGAAUUGGCACUGCUGCAGUGCCGGUGAAAUGGACAAUCCGCAGCGAAGCCCCUGCUGUUCACGGUAGUUUUUUCAACCACCAAACAUGGGGAACGUUCACAGACUAAGUGGAAGUGGGUGGGGUGCUUUUUAGGUGCCCUGCUUAAGAUAUAGUCGGGCCCCUUUGGAAACUCUGGGGAUGGGAAGGCAGCUUUUUCCAAGCUAUUUCCCUCAACAAGCCGUUCCGUAGGUGAACCUGCGGAAGGAUCAUU
Molecule: ribosomal RNA, 580 nt
Filed under: Camarosporium quaternatum
Lineage: Eukaryota; Fungi; Ascomycota; Dothideomycetes; Pleosporales
Description: partial 18S ribosomal RNA
Rfam family: Group I catalytic intron (bases 142-506)
About the family: Group I catalytic introns are large self-splicing ribozymes. They catalyse their own excision from mRNA, tRNA and rRNA precursors in a wide range of organisms.
Source: RNAcentral